UGGGGUUUAUCAUAAUCAUGAAAAUAUAAUGCAGCAAAUGAUAAAACACAAUACCUCAUGAAUAAAAUAACUAAUGUCAUGCAAAUAAGCAAGAAGAUAUCACAGAAAGUCCUUUUGCAUCACCCAUGUGAUUGGCUUGCAGGGCACUAUUCUUUUAUUAAAAUCAAUAGGAUGAAUUAUAUGAUAACCAUGUGUCAGUAAGUUCUAGAAUGUU
RNAcentral lists this long non-coding RNA (214 nucleotides) under Elaeis guineensis (African oil palm). Its description in RNAcentral is "long non-coding RNA (EGUI_LNC051889)". The record is from RNAcentral. Lineage: Eukaryota; Viridiplantae; Streptophyta; Magnoliopsida; Arecales; Arecaceae.